UUUAUUCUCAACAGGACAUGUGUAAUAGGAAGGAAGAUGAAGGUGGAGUAGAAUAGAUAUGCUGACAGCCUGAGGAAGUGAAGAACAUCUGCAGCCACAUUAAAAUAGUAGUAGUUAUUACAGCGAACAGGAUAUUCUCCAAGGGGGAAUGGCAGGUGCUUGACUUAAAACACAGUUUGAAAAGCAUUUUUGGAACAUAUUUCAGAAUGCUGUGCAAGAAUCAAACUUGAUCAAGAAAUGUGACUACGCCUGUGCAACAAUAGCUCUGACUUCAUCCAAGAAACCAAUGCCAGCUCUUCUUCAUCACUAACUUAGUUCUGGUUUCAGCAUCAGUUCCUAGGGAUAGUGGCACACCUGAAAAAGGAGCAGAGCUUUGAUCUUGUGACUGCCAUUUUGACUUUUUUUAUCUCCUCCUUUGCAGACACCACUGGGCAGAAUAGUUCAUGGUUGCUGGUAAACCAGGGUAUGGAGGAUACUCCUCGAUCCCUACCUUGCUUGGGGGAUUACCAGAAGCAUAGGGCUGGCAACUGUAGACUUAGGACCCAUUUAGGCUUGUUGAAUGAUUUUAAUCC
Long non-coding RNA from Candoia aspera, 572 nucleotides. RefSeq lists it as uncharacterized. The transcript is spliced from 3 exons. NCBI's taxonomy places the organism in Eukaryota, Metazoa, Chordata, Lepidosauria, Squamata, Candoiidae. The record is from RefSeq and is a predicted model, not a curated record.